CCUACAAUAUAGGAUCCGCUCAGUGGAUAUCUUCUAUAUAAGACCCUUCUCCCGAUUGACCGAUCAAGGAUGGACACAGACAAGAUAGCGGAGAGUAUAAUAAAUCUCACCGUAGAAAUCCUCUUUCGGAUUACUGGAGAGGACUACACAGUAGUGAAGAAGACCUCUAGUGAGCGCUGUCAGGACCCUGUGUCUGAAGGAUGGGGAAGAACCCUGAGCCUAAUCAUGGAGCCUCCACAUCACCCCCUGAUACAUGAGGAAAUCAAUAGAGAGAAGAUCCUAGAACUCCUCAACAAGAUGAUUGAGCUGCUGACUGGAGAGGUUCCUAUAAGGUGUCAGGAUGUCACCGUCUAUUUCUCCACGGAG
Bufo bufo (common toad) is the source of this 366-nucleotide long non-coding RNA. RefSeq lists it as uncharacterized. The record is from RefSeq and is a predicted model, not a curated record. The transcript has 3 exons. Lineage: Eukaryota; Metazoa; Chordata; Amphibia; Anura; Bufonidae.